RNAcentral lists this ribosomal RNA (257 nucleotides) under uncultured Leptotrichia sp. RNAcentral describes it as "partial 16S ribosomal RNA". It matches the Rfam family "Bacterial small subunit ribosomal RNA", at positions 97 to 355 of the family's 1533-position model. Lineage: Bacteria; Fusobacteriati; Fusobacteriota; Fusobacteriia; Fusobacteriales; Leptotrichiaceae. The record is from RNAcentral.
GGCGGACGGGUGAGUAACGCGUAAGAACUUGCCCUUUAGACUGGGAUAACAGAGGGAAACUUCUGAUAAUACUGGAUAAGUUAGUAUAUCGCAUGAUAUGCAAAUGAAAGCUACGGCACUAAAGGAGAGCUUUGCGUCCUAUUAGCUAGUUGGUAAGGUAAGAGCUUACCAAGGCGAUGAUAGGUAGCCGGCCUGAGAGGGUGGACGGCCACAAGGGGACUGAGAUACGGCCCUUACUCCUACGGGAGGCAGCAGUA